AGAGUUUGAUCCUGGCUCAGAAUCAACGCUGGCGGCGUGCCUCAGACAUGCAAGUCGAACGCGAAAGGCCCUUCGGGGCCGAGUAGAGUGGCGUCCGGGUGAGUAACACGUAGGUAAUCUACCUCUGGGUGGGGAAUAACAGCCGGAAACGGCUGCUAAUACCGCAUAAUGCAGCGGCACCACAUGGUGACAGUUGUUAAAGCGGGGGAUCGUAAGCCUCGCGCCUAGAGAGGAGCCUGCGGCGGAUUAGCUAGUUGGCGGGGUAACGGCCCACCAAGGCAACGAUCCGUAGCCGGCCUGAGAGGGCGGUCGGCCACACUGGCACUGACACACGGGCCAGACUCCUACGGGAGGCAGCAGUCGGGAAUUUUGGGCAAUGGGCGAAAGCCUGACCCAGCAACGCCGCGUGAAGGAUGAAGCUUCUCGGAGUGUAAACUUCAUAAGAAUGGGACGAAUAAGGAGGGGUUAAUACCCCCUUUGAUGACGGUACCAUUUGUAAGCUCCGGCUAACUCCGUGCCAGCAGCCGCGGUAAUACGGGGGGAGCAAGCGUUGUUCGGAUUUACUGGGCGUAAAGGGCGCGUAGGCGGCGCAACAAGUCAGCUGUGAAAUCUCCGGGCUUAACCCGGAGCGGCCAGCUGAUACUGUCGUGCUAGAGUGCGGAAGGGGCUACUGGAAUUCUCGGUGUAGCGGUGAAAUGCGUAGAUAUCGAGAGGAACACCUGUGGCGAAGGCGGGUAGCUGGGCCGACACUGACGCUGAGGCGCGAAAGCUAGGGGAGCGAACGGGAUUAGAUACCCUUGUAGUCC
This 806-nucleotide ribosomal RNA is filed under the name uncultured bacterium. RNAcentral's name for it is "bacterial SSU rRNA". It matches the Rfam family "Bacterial small subunit ribosomal RNA", at positions 8 to 796 of the family's 1533-position model. The record is from RNAcentral.